UGGUGGUCUAGUGGUUAGGAUUCG
RNAcentral lists this non-coding RNA (24 nucleotides) under Callithrix jacchus (white-tufted-ear marmoset). Lineage: Eukaryota; Metazoa; Chordata; Mammalia; Primates; Cebidae. RNAcentral also lists the same sequence under 3 other names. The record is from RNAcentral.